RNAcentral lists this long non-coding RNA (602 nucleotides) under Homo sapiens (human). RNAcentral describes it as "HSALNT0195021". The record is from RNAcentral. Lineage: Eukaryota; Metazoa; Chordata; Mammalia; Primates; Hominidae.
GGUACUUCUACAUUGCAAAAGAGAAAAUGUAUUAUUUACACUCAGUUAUGAAGAAUGUGAAAAUUUUCUCAAAGUCGAGGUAGAUAAUGUUGUAAAAGUACCUCCAUGCAUUCCAGAGCGUAUAUAUCUCUGGUCAACUUCAUUUUACUGAUGUGUUUUUAAGGAAUGGGCAGCAAAAAUAAACAAGAUCUGCCAGGUAUGUUCUUAUGAAACAUUGAUAGUGACAUGGUUCUCUCCCAUCCAGAGUAAACUGAAUGGGAUAAAUGAGCUAUUCUUGGUGAAUGGUGAGGAGGGGAUGGAAUGAUCAUCUCUCUUUUUUUUCUUUAUUGGAUUUAAGAAGAUUUUUGGGCUAUCUGACUAUUCCGAUGAGACAGUUUUCUCAAGGGUACCCUGGAAAAUGAGGCAAUAAGGGGGGGCACUGAAGCUAUUUCAUUGUCCCUAUGUAUAUACUAAGAAGUAUGACCAACUCUCAGUCAUCCGUAACAGUGUAGUGUAGACAGUGAGUUCAGGAUGAACUAGAAAAAUAUAAAAAACUGAUGUCAGAUCUUCAUGUUUGAGAUAGAGAAAAUAUAACAAUGCUUUAUGAAUAAGGGGAGUGAGAA